Molecule: ribosomal RNA, 400 nt
Filed under: uncultured bacterium
Lineage: Bacteria
Description: bacterial SSU rRNA
Rfam family: Bacterial small subunit ribosomal RNA
Source: RNAcentral
GAAUAUUCCGCAAUGCACGAAAGUGUGACGGAGCAAUGCCGCGUGCAGGAUGAAGCGGCUUCGCCGUGUAAACUGCUGUCAGGGGCUAGAAACACUGAUCAGCCCCAAAGGAAGAGCCGGCUAACCCUGUGCCAGCAGCCGCGAUAAUACAGGGGGCUCAAGCGUUAAUCGGAAUCACUGGGCUUAAAGGGUGCGCAGGCGGAUGCGCAAGCGUCUCGUGAAAUCCCUCGGCUCAACCGGGGAAUUGCGGGGCGAACUGCGUGUCUUGAGGCAGAUAGAGGCCGUCGGAACGCUAGGUGGAGCGGUGAAAUGCGUAGAGAUCUAGCGGAACGCCAAAGGUGAAGACAGGCGGCUGGGUCUGUCCUGACGCUCAGGCACGAAAGCGUGGGGAGCAAACGGG